This 423-nucleotide ribosomal RNA is filed under the name uncultured bacterium. RNAcentral describes it as "bacterial SSU rRNA". It matches the Rfam family "Bacterial small subunit ribosomal RNA", at positions 356 to 772 of the family's 1533-position model. The record is from RNAcentral.
GGGGAAUAUUGCACAAUGGGGGCAACCCUGAUCCAGCAAUGCCGCGUGUGUGAAGAAGGCCUGCGGGUUGUAAAGCACUUUCAGAGGGGAAGAAAAAAUCGGAGCUAACACCUCCGAGCUUGACGUUACCCUUAGAAGAAGCCCCGGCUAACUCCGUGCCAGCAGCCGCGGUAAUACGAAGGGUGCAAACGUUGCUCGGAAUCAUUGGGCGUAAAGCGCACGUAGGCGGCCUCGCAAGUCUGAUGUGAAAUCCCUCGGCUCAACCGAGGACGUGCAUCGGAAACUGCGGGGCUUGAGUACUGAAGAGGAUCGCGGAAUUCCCGGUGUAGAGGUGAAAUUCGUAGAUAUCGGGAGGAACACCAGUGGCGAAGGCGGCGAUCUGGGCAGAUACUGACGCUGAGGUGCGAAAGCGUGGGGAGCAAA